UACGUAGGGUGCGAGCGUUGUCCGGAAUUACUGGGCGUAAAGAGCUCGUAGGUGGUUUGUCGCGUUGGUCGUGAAAACCGGGGGCUUAACCCUCGGCGUGCGGGCGAUACGGGCAGACUGGAGUACUGCAGGGGAGACUGGAAUUCCUGGUGUAGCGGUGGAAUGCGCAGAUAUCAGGAGGAACACCGGUGGCGAAGGCGGGUCUCUGGGCAGUAACUGACGCUGAGGAGCGAAAGCGUGGGGAGCGAACAGG
RNAcentral lists this ribosomal RNA (253 nucleotides) under uncultured bacterium. Its description in RNAcentral is "partial 16S ribosomal RNA". It matches the Rfam family "Bacterial small subunit ribosomal RNA", at positions 524 to 776 of the family's 1533-position model. The record is from RNAcentral.